RNAcentral lists this small nucleolar RNA (138 nucleotides) under Carlito syrichta (Philippine tarsier). RNAcentral's name for it is "Small Cajal body specific RNA 15 (ENSTSYG00000034584.1)". It matches the Rfam family "Small Cajal body specific RNA 15". From Rfam's summary of the family: scaRNAs are a specific class of small nuclear RNAs which localise to the Cajal bodies and guide the modification of RNA polymerase II transcribed spliceosomal RNAs U1, U2, U4, U5 and U12. ACA45 belongs to the H/ACA box class of guide RNAs as it has the predicted hairpin-hinge-hairpin-tail structure, the conserved H/ACA-box motifs and is found associated with GAR1. Lineage: Eukaryota; Metazoa; Chordata; Mammalia; Primates; Tarsiidae. The record is from Rfam by way of RNAcentral.
CUGGAGACUAAGGGAUUAGAGUCCGUGAAGUCAGGCUGACUCUGCUUUUACCCUCCCAAAUGAAAAGGCAGACAAAAUAGAUCUUGUGUGCAAAAUAAAUUCACACAGGAAACAAACACAAAUUACCUCCAAACAUAG